GACGAACGCUGGCGGCGCGCCUAACACAUGCAAGUCGAACGAGCGAGAGAGAGCUUGCUUUCUCGAGCGAGUGGCGAACGGGUGAGUAACGCGUGAGGAACCUGCCUCAAAGAGGGGGACAACAGUUGGAAACGACUGCUAAUACCGCAUAAGCCCACGGCUCGGCAUCGAGCAGGGGGAAAAGGAGCAAUCCGCUUUGAGAUGGCCUCGCGUCCGAUUAGCUAGUUGGUGAGGUAACGGCCCACCAAGGCGACGAUCGGUAGCCGGACGGGGAGGUUGAACGGCCACAUUGGGACUGAGACACGGCCCAGACUCCUACGGGAGGCAGCAGUGGGGAAUAUUGCACAAUGGGGGAAACCCUGAUGCAGCGACGCCGCGUGGAGGAAGAAGGUCUUCGGAUUGUAAACUCCUGUUGUUGGGGAAGAUAAUGACGGUACCCAACAAGGAAGUGACGGCUAACUACGUG
This 466-nucleotide ribosomal RNA is filed under the name uncultured bacterium. RNAcentral describes it as "partial 16S ribosomal RNA". It matches the Rfam family "Bacterial small subunit ribosomal RNA", at positions 28 to 507 of the family's 1533-position model. The record is from RNAcentral.